UACGGGGGGGGCAAGCGUUGUUCGGAAUUACUGGGCGUAAAGGGCUCGUAGGUGGCCAACUAAGUCAGACGUGAAAUCCCUCGGCUUAACCGGGGAACUGCGUCUGAUACUGGAUGGCUUGAGUUUGGGAGAGGGACGCGGAAUUCCAGGUGUAGCGGUGAAAUGCGUAGAUAUCUGGAGGAACACCGGUGGCGAAGGCGGCGUCC
Molecule: ribosomal RNA, 206 nt
Filed under: uncultured bacterium
Lineage: Bacteria
Description: partial 16S ribosomal RNA
Rfam family: Bacterial small subunit ribosomal RNA
Source: RNAcentral